AUGUGUGUGCGCGCACACACACACACACACACACACACACCCAGCUCUCAAGUCCUUGUAGGACCAUGUCCACCCCAUCCACCCCCCAAGCCUCUUCUCCACCCAGGCCUAGUUCCACAGGCCCUCCCCUCCCCCAUUUCCUGGGGUGUCCCCAGAGGCCCCUCCUACCCAAGGAUGGAUCUGAAGGUCGGUUCUGGAAAGGAACCUGGGGAAACAACUUCAGGAGGAGACGGAUGUCCGUAAACAUUUAAAAAAUUAUUUAGAAAAAAGGAAAGAAUGGUUUGCCAACCACACAGUCCAUAAUUCUUCAGCCACAGAAAGAAAGAGAAAUGCAGACCACCGGCUGAUGGACUCACUCACACCCUCGGUGACUGACAGAAGUACCCAGAGACCCGGAGAUUAAAAAGUGUUUUCAGACAAGGGAGCCUGGGUGGCUCAGUCAGUUAAGCAUCGGACUCUUGACCUCGGCUCAGGUCAUGAUCUCAUAGUUCGUGAGUUCGAGCCCUGCGUCCGGCUCUGUGUUGACAGUGCAGAUCCUGCUUGGGAUUCUCUCUCUCCUUCUCUCUGCCCACUCCCCCCGCCGCCCUCCAGAUAAAUGAGCAAACUUCAAAAAAUAUAUCUUUUCAGACAUUCCCAGACACCAGACACACAGACCUGGACCCCUCCCCUAGAGUCACAGACCUGCACCCCCGGCCUAAGAAGGAAAGCAGAGACACAGACUCUCAAAUUACAGAAAAGCUAAACUCCGGCAAAUGCAAGGUUCAGCCGACUCACGUUCAGGCACACACAGACCUGCAGACCGGGAGAGACUCAACUGCACGCAGACCACGCACACAGGUCGCGUCCCCGAAGCCCGCCUCACCAUCCAUGACCCUCAUUCAUGCGGCCCCUGCUCCUGAUCCGGGGAGCCCAGCCAGAAGUGUGGCAGACCCAGGCUCUGCCCUCAGGGGCUCACAGGCCCAUGCGGGAGUCACAUCCACCCACAGACAGUGAGGACCCAGGCCCAGGAUGGGGGACCCUGGAGGGCCGUGGGAACACAAAGGGGAUACCUGAUCCAGC
This 1059-nucleotide long non-coding RNA is filed under the name Felis catus (domestic cat). Its description in RNAcentral is "lncRNA (ENSFCAG00000050954.1)". Lineage: Eukaryota; Metazoa; Chordata; Mammalia; Carnivora; Felidae. The record is from RNAcentral.